CUCCCACCACGAGAGUGGGUAAGGCUCCCGGUAGACGACCGGGUUGAUAGGCCGGAGGUGGAAGCGCGGUAACGUGUGGAGCUGACCGGUACUAAUAGGCCGAGGACUUGACCAC
Molecule: ribosomal RNA, 115 nt
Filed under: Nonomuraea wenchangensis
Lineage: Bacteria; Bacillati; Actinomycetota; Actinomycetes; Streptosporangiales; Streptosporangiaceae
Description: Nonomuraea sp. 210417 Bacterial large subunit ribosomal RNA
Rfam family: Bacterial large subunit ribosomal RNA
Source: Rfam by way of RNAcentral